GACGAACGCUGGCGGCGUGCUUAACACAUGCCAGUCGAACGGAAAGGCCCUGCUUUUGUGGGGUGCUCGAGUGGCGAACGGGUGAGUAACACGUGAGUAACCUGCCCUUGACUUUGGGAUAACUUCAGUAAACUGGGGCUAAUACCGGAUAGGAGCUCCUGCUGCAUGGUGGGGGUUGGAAAGUUUCGGCGGUUGGGGAUGGACUCGCGGCUUAUCAGCUUGUUGGUGGGGUAGUGGCUUACCAAGGCUUUGACGGGUAGCCGGCCUGAGAGGGUGACCGGCCACAUUGGGACUGAGAUACGGCCCAGACUCCUACGGGAGGCAGCAGUGGGGAAUAUUGCACAAUGGGCGGAAGCCUGAUGCAGCAACGCCGCGUGCGGGAUGACGGCCUUCGGGUUGUAAACCGCUUUCGCCUGUGACGAAGCGUGAGUGACGGUAAUGGGUAAAGAAGCACCGGCUAACUACGUG
This 468-nucleotide ribosomal RNA is filed under the name uncultured bacterium. Its description in RNAcentral is "partial 16S ribosomal RNA". It matches the Rfam family "Bacterial small subunit ribosomal RNA", at positions 28 to 507 of the family's 1533-position model. The record is from RNAcentral.